This 69-nucleotide transfer RNA is filed under the name Anolis humilis (humble anole). RNAcentral describes it as "tRNA-Trp". The record is from RNAcentral. Lineage: Eukaryota; Metazoa; Chordata; Lepidosauria; Squamata; Anolidae.
AAAAACUUAGGUUAUUUAAACCAAGGGCCUUCAAAGCCCUAAAUAAGGAUAUCAGCCCUUAGUUUUUGA